UUUGACUAUACAAAGGUAUUGAAAUAAGAUUUUAAUUGAAUGCUAAGAGAAUGGAAUUUCAGGGAAAUGCUUUAUUUAAGCUAAAAAUUAAAGUUUUUUUAAUUUGUGCAGAAACAAUUAUUAAAAUUAAGGACAAGAAGACCCUAUGAAUUUAAAAUUUAUGAAAAUAAUUAAAAUUUAAUAAAUUUUGGCUGGGGCGGCAAAAAAAUAUUUAAAACUUUUUAAAACUUAAAAUGAUCCAUUAUUAAUGAUUAAUUGGAAAAAUACUCUAGGGAUAACAGCGUUAUAUUUUUUGAUAGACCAUAUUGACAAAAAAGUUUGCGACCUCGAUGUUGGAUUAGGA
RNAcentral lists this ribosomal RNA (343 nucleotides) under Rhipicephalus sp. ST61. RNAcentral's name for it is "partial 16S ribosomal RNA". Lineage: Eukaryota; Metazoa; Arthropoda; Arachnida; Ixodida; Ixodidae. The record is from RNAcentral.